This 253-nucleotide ribosomal RNA is filed under the name uncultured bacterium. RNAcentral describes it as "partial 16S ribosomal RNA". It matches the Rfam family "Bacterial small subunit ribosomal RNA", at positions 524 to 776 of the family's 1533-position model. The record is from RNAcentral.
UACGUAGGGUGCGAGCGUUGUCCGGAAUUAUUGGGCGUAAAGAGUUUGUAGGCGGUUUGUCGCGUCUGCCGUGAAAGCCCAGGGCUUAACCCUGGGUCUGCGGUGGGUACGGGCAGACUAGAGUGUGGUAGGGGAGACUGGAAUUCCUGGUGUAGCGGUGAAAUGCGCAGAUAUCGGGAGGAACACCGGUGGCGAAGGCGGCCUUCUGGACAGUGACUGACGCUGAGGCGCGAAAGCGUGGGGAGCAAACAGG